GAAGAACGCAGCGAAAUGCGAUAAGUAAUGUGAAUUGCAGAAUUCAGUGAAUCAUCGAAUCUUUGAACGCACCUUGCGCUCCUUGGUAUUCCUUGGAGCAUGCCUGUUUGAGUAUCAUGAAUUCUUCAAAGUAAAUCU
Molecule: ribosomal RNA, 138 nt
Filed under: Rhizoctonia solani
Lineage: Eukaryota; Fungi; Basidiomycota; Agaricomycetes; Cantharellales; Ceratobasidiaceae
Description: 5.8S ribosomal RNA
Rfam family: 5.8S ribosomal RNA (bases 1-117)
About the family: 5.8S ribosomal RNA (5.8S rRNA) is a component of the large subunit of the eukaryotic ribosome. It is transcribed by RNA polymerase I as part of the 45S precursor that also contains 18S and 28S rRNA.
Source: RNAcentral